RNAcentral lists this ribosomal RNA (330 nucleotides) under uncultured eukaryote. Its description in RNAcentral is "partial 18S ribosomal RNA". It matches the Rfam family "Eukaryotic small subunit ribosomal RNA", at positions 1470 to 1796 of the family's 1831-position model. The record is from RNAcentral.
CCCUUAGAUGUUCUGGGCCGCACGCGCGCUACACUGAUCGAGCCAGCGAGCCUGUCCCUCGCCGGAAGGUGCGGGUAAUCUUGUGAAACUCGAUCGUGCUGGGGAUAGACCAUUGCAAUUAUUGGUCUUCAACGAGGAAUUCCUAGUAAGCGCAAGUCAUCAGCUUGCGUUGAUUACGUCCCUGCCCUUUGUACACACCGCCCGUCGCUACUACCGAUUGAAUGGUUUAGUGAGAUCUUCGGAUUGGAGUCCUCGGUGACGGCGACGCCAUCUUGGACAACCGAGAAGUUGAGCUAACUGAAUUAUUUAGAGGAAGUAAAAGUCGUAACA